GUGGGGAAUAUUGGACAAUGGGCGCAAGCCUGAUCCAGCCAUGCCGCGUGUGUGAAGAAGGCCUUUUGGUUGUAAAGCACUUUAAGCGAGGAGGAGGCCCCUUUAGUUAAUACCUAAAGAGAGUGGACGUUACUCGCAGAAUAAGCACCGGCUAACUCUGUGCCAGCAGCCGCGGUAAUACAGAGGGUGCGAGCGUUAAUCGGAUUUACUGGGCGUAAAGCGUGCGUAGGCGGCUUUUUAAGUCGGAUGUGAAAUCCCUGAGCUUAACUUAGGAAUUGCAUUCGAUACUGGAAAGCUAGAGUAUGGGAGAGGAUGGUAGAAUUCCAGGUGUAGCGGUGAAAUGCGUAGAGAUCUGGAGGAAUACCGAUGGCGAAGGCAGCCAUCUGGCCUAAUACUGACGCUGAGGUACGAAAGCAUGGGGAGCAAACAGGAUUAGAAACCCCUGUAGUCC
RNAcentral lists this ribosomal RNA (451 nucleotides) under uncultured bacterium. RNAcentral describes it as "partial 16S ribosomal RNA". It matches the Rfam family "Bacterial small subunit ribosomal RNA", at positions 354 to 796 of the family's 1533-position model. The record is from RNAcentral.